GGAGUCCCUCCUCUAAAACCACUCUGUGUGGGGAACAUGAGAGCCAGACCAAAGCUCAGAGGAACCCACCUGGACCUCCACCCAGCUCUGUGUCCUUACAGAGUGACCGGUCUAAAAGUGAACCCAUUAAUUUUAAAGUCCAGCCUGUGUCUGCUGCAGAGAGAGGUCAGAGGUCACAGUCUGCAGGGUCCAGCUGUCCGUCUGUGAGGAGUGACCGGUCC
Molecule: long non-coding RNA, 221 nt
Organism: Oreochromis aureus
Lineage: Eukaryota; Metazoa; Chordata; Actinopteri; Cichliformes; Cichlidae
Exons: 3
Source: RefSeq, a predicted model, not a curated record